Molecule: ribosomal RNA, 497 nt
Filed under: uncultured bacterium
Lineage: Bacteria
Description: partial 16S ribosomal RNA
Rfam family: Bacterial small subunit ribosomal RNA
Source: RNAcentral
GAUGAACGCUGGCGGCGUGCCUAAUACAUGCAAGUCGAGCGAACGGGCGAUAAGCUUGUUUUGCGGAUGUUAGCGGCGGACGGGUGAGUAACGCGAGUAUAAUCUACCUAUAAUUCUGGUAUAACUUCGGGAAACGGGCGCUUAUACGGGAGAAUAUUUUGCACCGCGGUGUGCAAUAGUGAAAUACGGUGUUGCGGUCACUUAUAGAUGGAUCCGCGCUGCAUUAUAUAGUUGGUAAGGUAACGGCUUACCAAGGCGACGAUGCAUAGCCGACGUGAGAGGCUGAUCGGCCACCCGGGAGCUGGGACACGGUCAAUACGACUGAGGGACGGCGCAGUCGGGAAUGUUCCGCAAUGGGCGAGAGCCUGACGGAGCGAGGGCGCGUGAGUGAUAACGGUCUUCCGAGCGUGAAACUCUGCUAUGAGGGAAAAACCUAUGUGUAAGUAGAUGAGGACAGCGUGACGGUACCUGAUCAGAAAGCAACGGCUAACUACGUG